This 1117-nucleotide ribosomal RNA is filed under the name Microbacterium lacticum. Its description in RNAcentral is "bacterial SSU rRNA". It matches the Rfam family "Bacterial small subunit ribosomal RNA", at positions 314 to 1441 of the family's 1533-position model. Lineage: Bacteria; Bacillati; Actinomycetota; Actinomycetes; Micrococcales; Microbacteriaceae. The record is from RNAcentral.
UGGGACUGAGACACGGCCCAGAUUCCUACGGGAGGCAGCAGUGGGGAAUAUUGCACAAUGGGCGAAAGCCUGAUGCAGCAACGCCGCGUGAGGGAUGACGGCCUUCGGGUUGUAAACCUCUUUUAGCAGGGAAGAAGCGAAAGUGACGGUACCUGCAGAAAAAGCGCCGGCUAACUACGUGCCAGCAGCCGCGGUAAUACGUAGGGCGCAAGCGUUAUCCGGAAUUAUUGGGCGUAAAGAGCUCGUAGGCGGUUUGUCGCGUCUGCUGUGAAAUCCCGAGGCUCAACCUCGGGCCUGCAGUGGGUACGGGCAGACUAGAGUGCGGUAGAGGAGAUUGGAAUUCCUGGUGUAGCGGUGGAAUGCGCAGAUAUCAGGAGGAACACCGAUGGCGAAGGCAGAUCUCUGGACCGUAACUGACGCUGAGGAGCGAAAGGGUGGGGAGCAAACAGGCUUAGAUACCCUGGUAGUCCACCCCGUAAACGUUGGGAACUAGUUGUGGGGUCCAUUCCACGGAUUCCGUGACGCAGCUAACGCAUUAAGUUCCCCGCCUGGGGAGUACGGCCGCAAGGCUAAAACUCAAAGGAAUUGACGGGGACCCGCACAAGCGGCGGAGCAUGCGGAUUAAUUCGAUGCAACGCGAAGAACCUUACCAAGGCUUGACAUACACGAGAACGGGCCAGAAAUGGUCAACUCUUUGGACACUCGUGAACAGGUGGUGCAUGGUUGUCGUCAGCUCGUGUCGUGAGAUGUUGGGUUAAGUCCCGCAACGAGCGCAACCCUCGUUCUAUGUUGCCAGCACGUCAUGGUGGGAACUCAUGGAAUACUGCCGGGGUCAACUCGGAGGAAGGUGAGGAUGACGUCAAAUCAUCAUGCCCCUUAUGUCUUGGGCUUCACGCAUGCUACAAUGGCCGGUACAAUGGGCUGCAAUACCGUGAGGUGGAGCGAAUCCCAAAAAGCCGGUCCCAGUUCGGAUUGAGGUCUGCAACUCGACCUCAUGAAGUCGGAGUCGCUAGUAAUCGCAGAUCAGCAACGCUGCGGUGAAUACGUUCCCGGGUCUUGUACACACCGCCCGUCAAGUCAUGAAAGUCGGUAACACCUGAAGCCGGUGGCCCAACCC